This 742-nucleotide long non-coding RNA is filed under the name Bos taurus (domestic cattle). Its description in RNAcentral is "long non-coding RNA NONBTAT024396". The record is from RNAcentral. Lineage: Eukaryota; Metazoa; Chordata; Mammalia; Artiodactyla; Bovidae.
GUAACUCAGUGUGAUUUAAAGAGAGGAAGAAGAAUUAGGCUUCAAAAGCUAAAACUGUGCAGUAACCAGCUCAAUGAUAUUUUUGUCAAUGGACAUUUCUUAUCACUGCCCAGCUCCAUGUUGGCCUUGUAGGGUUUCUCUUGAAGACUUCUCUUGAAGUGGAUCCUGAGAAGGAUCCGCUUCCAAUUAAAAAGUUAAAACUUAUCCCGGAUAUUUACUUGUGUGGGUAAUUUCCAAUUAACUAAAGUUUUUAGAUGGCUUUCUAUCCUGAGCAAUUGCUUUCAAAACUGAAGUUUCACAUUUAGCCUCCAGAUGUCACUGUUUGCAUUAUUUAUUUCAGCUCACCUGGGUGGGGCAAGGAAACAGGACUUGACAACUUCAGCUUUCUGAAUAAAUGACAGGACUCCAGCAGUUUUGGCUUAAUCAAUAGGCUUAAUGUUUUCUUUCUUUCUUUUCCAGUAAAGCAGUAAUAACAGACUAUUAUUAAAAUGAAAAUAUCUCCUUUAUACUUAAGUCUGUGAGCAAGGAAAUUUGACCUUAACAAUUUGGUUCUGACGGCAUGAAGGAGAAAUUACGUAUGCCCAUUAUUGCAUCAUGUUUGUCAUUCACAUGACUUUUCACCUUCUUAUUUCCUCACUGAAAAGUAGAAAUAACUCAGAUGCAUGCUGAUCAGUGACUCAACAUGCUGAGAUUCAUGGGGGCACUGGUGGUAGAAUGAAAUCAAUCCUCCAGACCUGGAGCC